UUUUCUUUCUUACAUGGAAAAAGCUAAAAACCCUCCAAUGUCCAAAAUGAUUCCAUAGAUGUCUUUAUCCUAAUGCUCUCUUGAUCAAGUAUUCAAUUUUUUCUAAACACAUUUAAUAAGUGCAAAUAAAGAAACUUUAGAUGUGAAAAGUACUUGCAAAACUGGGAAAGUAAAACUUACUAUGUAUGACUAUGCAAUAGAAAUAUCAUUACUCCUACUAAGGUUCUUCCAAAACACUAUAGCCUAGAAUUAUGUUACUUUUAUGUAUUUCUAUGUAUGUAGUAGUAAGGAUUUCCUGAUCCGUCGAUCGUGAAUGAACUGAGAUUCUUGAAGAGGCUCUGGCUUCUCUGAAACAAGUAUCAUAUUGUGGUCUCAGCUAGCCUCAAAGUUUUGUUAAGACUUUGCUAGUUGCAGUCGUGCAAUGAACUCCCACAAUAAUUGUCAGAUAUAAACAUUUUGAUGUAUGAUACUAGCAAAAACAUUGAUCCCUGAGAUUAUAAAGUAGUUGUGAUGAUUUUGCUAUUUCAUUCUAUCUUUCUAUUUUUGAGUUGCAUUUAUACUUUCCUUAGCAGUAGAUAUUAUUUUUAAUGUAUGAGCAUUGCUAACUCUAUUAGGAGUUCUUUCAUCUGCAUAUAAUGAUUGAAUAUUAAUGAUUUUGUUGAAUAUGUGUUUCUUUGAAUGUGGUAUUUUAUUACUUGUGAUUUAUUUGUGAGAGUGGAAGUGUUUACUUGUGGUAUUUUUGAGAGUUUCAAGAUUUUAGAAAAUUACAAUAUGAAAGGCGUAAUCAUUUACAAUACCCUCAUAGGACUUCACGCCAUAGCUAUACUGAAUUGGAAGCUGAUUUAGUAAGUACAUAUAUAGAACGAAUUAUGCCUGGUUUUAUGUUUUCUUCAAUUGAUGUUAAAAUUGACCUAAUUCUAUUAUAUGCAGCAAGCUAAGUGGGGCACAACAGAGUAGAUAGAUCGAUCUAUACUCUGGAAGGUGGCCAGAAAAGAUUCUUCUGGCAACUAUGUCACUGAGUGUGACAAGGUCAUGGGAGAGGCCAUCGAAGAAAUGCUUGAGCAAAGAAAAGAAGGCAAACUGAUUGAGAUCAGAACAAAUGACAUCCUAACACAAGUGUUAGGUACUGCUGAGCACCUCGGUCAAGUUCGAGGCCAGAGUCAAGGUGUCACACAAAGAGACUAAUUUCAUAAGCCUAUUGGGGGGGGGGGGGUCUAAGAGGCUUGCUAGUACUAAUUGUAGUUUUUAGUUAGCACUUACAUAGUUAUUCCAAGUGAGUUCUAUAGUCCAUGUGAGUUAGCACUUACAUAUUUUGAUCUUGUAAUUUUUAGAGUUGGAACAUACUGAGUUCUAUUGAUUUUGUUUGCCUGUUCAUUCU
Humulus lupulus (European hop) is the source of this 1378-nucleotide long non-coding RNA. RefSeq lists it as uncharacterized. Lineage: Eukaryota; Viridiplantae; Streptophyta; Magnoliopsida; Rosales; Cannabaceae. The transcript has 2 exons. The record is from RefSeq and is a predicted model, not a curated record.